GAACAUGGAAACGUGUAGGUGUGUGUAUCUAGCUUUUACCUUGUUUGAGGGUAUUUGUGAAGGUGAACAAAGUGAUUGGUGAUCACUGGCAACAACUGACUGCAUUAACAGGACGGACAACAAUAAUUCCCAUUUGAUGUAAAAAAACAUGUUUUGUUUCGUGCAUAGUCCAUUCCUAUAUUGCAACCAGAGCAAACUUGUUGAUGAAGAAUGAUGCUUUCCUGGCAGGAUGCAAACAUGGCAAAGAACUGAGAUUUUAUGCGGAAGAACAUAGGUAGGUGAAGAGCUUCCACAAGUGACAAGUUGGCGCCCAACAGUAUCAGAAAAAUUCUGUUCAACUUGCACCAAUUAAGAAAAGAAGACGUAACAAAUAGACUUGAUAUUUCCAGCUUGUUCAACAGAUGGCAGCUCAUAUAAUUACUUCG
RNAcentral lists this long non-coding RNA (425 nucleotides) under Panax ginseng (ginseng). Its description in RNAcentral is "long non-coding RNA (PGIN_LNC002227)". Lineage: Eukaryota; Viridiplantae; Streptophyta; Magnoliopsida; Apiales; Araliaceae. The record is from RNAcentral.